This 1146-nucleotide long non-coding RNA is filed under the name Anser cygnoides (Swan goose). RNAcentral's name for it is "lncRNA (ENSACDG00005012292.1)". Lineage: Eukaryota; Metazoa; Chordata; Aves; Anseriformes; Anatidae. The record is from RNAcentral.
AUGAGCCCCCCAAACCAUCACAUGAUCCCAGGACCUGUGGCCUGGGGAAUAACAUCGGGAGAGGGGCCUCAAAGCAGCCAGAGCUGGGACCAGCAACCGCCAGCUCCUGGUGGUAAUGCAGGCAGGACAGGCAGACAGACAAAAGAAACCUGUCUAUACGAAAGAGGGAUUUUGCAGCUCAGCAUCCCCUGCCCAACAUUCAGGUGUUCUCUUUCUGCAGAGCCUCAGCAAGGCCGGGCUCUCAAGGCCCCCCCUCCUGCCCCGGUUUGGCAGGAGGGACAAGUGCCCCCGCCCCGCUUGGUGCUGCUGUGGCCGCGGCGCUCUUUGCUGUCAUUUGUGCCGUGGCUGCAAAGAAGAGGAGACAGUCAUGCGAGCACCAAGGUGCCAAUUACACUUUCAUUAACAGCCGAUGUAUUUCUUUAUCAGCCCUCUGCUUCUCUGUACAAUGUUGAUCAUUUUGGUGGAGCAUUUGUUUUAAUUUCCCAAAUGAGGAAGCAAUCUUGUAAAUAUUGUGCAGUAAUUAAAAUGGCUAUUUAUUGUGCAGCAUUCUGGCUGCUGCCAGCACACAGCCUGAUUAGCAUUCCCCUUCCUCCGAGCCCUUGCUCCCACCCGUCCUGCUGGCUCCAGCAGCCCCUCUGCCCAAAUCUGGGCACCCAGCGACCUGCAGCCAAGCCCCACCACCCCGCUCCGUCCCACUGCGCUGACCCUCGCUGCUACAAGGCAGCCAGAGGUUCGAUGUCCUCCAAGAACCGAGAAACCCAGCAGCAGCGAACAGCAACAGAAACUCUUGUUUCUGAAACAAAACCCAUUCCUCAGGUUCUUGCUGGUGGCAGUGGGCUCAGCCUCUAUGGGCAAACCUCUGGGACGGGGCAGAUUAAGAACAAUCCGCAGGAGACGCAAGCCCCUCAGAGGGCCAGGAGGACUCAGCCCCACCACAGGAGCACACCUGGGUGCUGUCCCAAGGCUGGGAAAUGCCAGCGGCAGGCUCCGUGCUGGGUCGGCACCAGCUGGCGCCUUGGUGGCUGCCCUCAGGGGGGAUCGGGGUGCACUGUCCUGCAAACAGCUCUGCCGCCCUGCUUGGGGCUGGGCAGAACAAAACCGCAGCCAGGAGAGAGCACGGGCUGUGCAUGGCCAGGGGAAUGCUGA